AGUGAACGCUGGCGGUAGGCCUAUCACAUGCAAGUCGAACGGCAGCACAGUAAGAGCUUGCUCUUACGGGUGGCGAGUGGCGGACGGGUGAGGAAUACAUCGGAAUCUACUUUUUCGUGGGGGAUAACGUAGGGAAACUUACGCUAAUACCGCAUACGACCUACGGGUGAAAGCAGGGGAUCUUCGGACCUUGCGCGAUUGAAUGAGCCGAUGUCGGAUUAGCUAGUUGGCGGGGUAAAGGCCCACCAAGGCGACGAUCCGUAGCUGGUCUGAGAGGAUGAGCAGCCACACUGGAACUGAGACACGGUCCAGACUCCUACGGGAGGCAGCAGUGGGGAAUAUUGGACAAUGGGCGCAAGCCUGAUCCAGCCAUACCGCGUGGGUGAAGAAGGCCUUCGGGUUGUAAAGCCCUUUUGUUGGGAAAGAAAAGCAGCAGGUUAAUACCCCGCUGUUCUGACGGUACCCAAAGAAUAAGCACCGGCUAACUUCGUG
This 492-nucleotide ribosomal RNA is filed under the name uncultured bacterium. Its description in RNAcentral is "partial 16S ribosomal RNA". It matches the Rfam family "Bacterial small subunit ribosomal RNA", at positions 29 to 507 of the family's 1533-position model. The record is from RNAcentral.